GGAACUAAAGCCCAGUUAUUUUUUCGCAACUUUCUUUUCAUGUAUUGCCUUUUCAUGUAUUGCACCUACGUAAGAAGUAUGCUCCAGCUAUACAAAAAGGAUAUUUAGAGAGGAAACUACAGUCUCAGUGGUCAAGUAAUUUCAGUUGAGCAAGCAAAUACUUUUAUUUGAAAUUUGUUUCCCCCAGUAGCACAGUAGAAUUCUUGGCACAUGGCAGCAAUGAAUGUUUUUUGGUUACCUAUCAAAAUGCAAACAUGGGUGUUGUGCAGAGUGCCAGAUAAAGGCAAGUAAAAAGUGUGAGAGAAAAAAUAAUGAAAAUAGCUUAACCAAUUACUACUCAGGUCUGGGAUUUGAGUUUAUUUUACUGAUAGAUAAUAAAUUAGUCUCUUGCUGUUUCAUGGGUGCUGUAAAAGACACAAGAUUCCUGGUUCAGAGGCAAAGGACUACUAGUCACAGCACAGGAAGCAACUCAUGCAUUAGCACAUUUGUGUCAGUUCCUCUUGCCUGCCAGGUACCAUGUGAAUGAAAUAAAGGUCUCAGGUGAAUGUUAUUUAGUGGAUUUACAUCACAGCUAGAGAACACUGAGCAUGGGGAAGCUGCCAUUUUAUGGGAAGCAGUAAGAAAACCUGUUCUGUAUCCUGGACGGAGACAUUAUUUCAUCUCUCAGGGUUGCUUACUACAAACACAACCCACACCCCUGAGAAAAGACAUUGGUAAAAAGCAGUCAAGAUGGGGUGCAUUCUUGGCACACCCUGGAAGAUGAGACGCAUGAGGGGCCAUCUCUCUCAACAUGACUAUUGGCCAAACUCUAUUCUAAGCACUUUACCUCUGUUAUCUCAUUAAAUCCUUACAACCCUAUAAUGUCCCCUAUUUUAUAGAUGAAUAAGGAUGCAUAGUGAAGUCACAGCUAAUAAACAAGGAAUCCAGGAGAAGCAUGGGUCUGAUGACUUGUAAAAUCCACAAGCAACCCCCUAAAAAAAGUUAUUGACUGUGUUAGCCUUCUCCAGAAUUGCUGGAGGGCAGGGGAGAUGGACCUAGUAAAAAAAAAUUAGGAGAGCUCACAAGAUGUGAGAUGAGGAUUCAAAGUCAUUAUAAUUAGAACAUUAAAAUGAGUGUGACCUUAUUUUACAACCAACCUAAUGAAGAAGGAUCUUGAUUAGUUACACAAAUAUGAAAAUAAUAAAGUUGGAAUAAGAGUUUUGCUCCAAAAUUAUAAUGAAAUUUGGUUUGGACCUGAAUCAUUGGGUUUAACUGGGAUGUGAAGGGACUUAGCCUACUAAAUCAGGUGUCAGGCAAAGGAAAAGGAAGGGAACCGUCAUUAAAAGAGCUAGCUUUUUCAUUUAGUUACUUAAUAAAAAUAUACCGAAUGCCUGUUUUGUUCUAGGAUUUGUAACUGGCUGGUGAUGCAGAGGUGAAUAAAUAGCUACAAACUCCCACGGGCAAUAGCACAGAGCCAAACUUGGCAGUUCCCCUUCUAGGAGCUCCUUCUACUGUUACACUUGCACACAUGUAAAAGGACAUUUUUGUGAAGUUACAUUCAGUGAAGUCAUUUUUUAUUUUUUUAAAAAAGAUUGGAAACAACCUAGUAGUCAUAGGUUAAAUUAUGAUCCAUCCACAGUGGAAAACGGAAUCACUGUAAACAGAGCAUGAGGAAACUCUUCGUGCGCUGAUGCAGAAUAAUCUCGUGGAGACCGAACAUGGUUAAGUGAAACAAGGUACAGCACAGGCUAUGGAACAGAAUAGCAUCAGAGUAUAAAAGAGGAACCUUAUAUGUGUUUAUAUUGUUAGAAGUAUACACACCAAAUUGGUAACGCUGGUGGCCACUGAGAAGGGAGACUGGUCUGCUGGGCUGGGGAGAGUUUGGAGGUAGAUUUUUCACUUUAUUCUGUUUGUUACUGUUUUCUAACCACUAAAUUUUCAGCUAGAUGAAUGUUUUACCUAUUGAAAAAAAUAUGUACAUAAAAUACCCAAGAAGGAUCAAACUGGAAGAAAAAGUAGUAGGAUCACCAAAAUUACAAAAUAAAAUGAAACACCAUUACUGUGCUCAAGAACUCAGUCUAGCAGGAGAGACAGCAAAAGACAAAAUAAUUACGACACAGUGUAAUGAUGGUGGUGACAGAGGCCUGCAAGCACCCAGGGUGAGGAGUUAGGGAAGCUGUUUUGUGAAAUGGGAGAGCUGAGCUGAGUUAUCCACAAGAGGAGUCGUCGAGGCAGAGGCAGGGCAUUUCUGACAAGGAGAAUGGCAUGUGCAGAGAUUUGAAAGGGCCCAGUGUGGUCUGAGGCCAUCCAGUCAGCAGGAUGGGCACGGAGAGAACAGGGCAGAAAGUGGGUGGGGCAGGUGGGCAAGAGUCACCUGGAGUGUAGUGUCCAGGAGUUUGGAUUUCAUUUCUAAGAAUUUAGGAGCCUCUGAAAGCUUUUAGACAGAACAGCUGUAUUAUGGGGUCUGUGCUUCAGCAAGUUCAUUCUGCAGGAUGUGUGGAGAAUGAAUUGAGAUAGGAAGAUCAGCUAAGAAGCAAUAGCGGUGAUUCAGGUCACUGGGACUUCGGCCUGCACCGCUGCGCCCAUCCAGGUCUCGGCACACAGUGGAGCCGCCCGCCCUCGGAAACAGCACCCAGACGGGCGAGCAGAGCGCUUCCCAUCCAGAGCUGGUCUGCAGCCCUCGCUGUGCCCUCCAUCCACCUCCUCGAGGACUCCACUUCGCUCUGCCAGUUUGAGGUCCUAGUUCAUCCAAGCUGGGAUCCCCACGGAGAACCAUGGGGACAGGAGGGGAGAGGAAGGCUCAGAGAUAGAAGCACACACCAAGCACCCAUGGGCAUCAGCAGCCCUCACAACCCUUAAGUACUGACAACACAUAGGAAUGGUUAUGGCCCCUCAGGCAUCUGCAAACAAGGCGGAGCUGUGAGGAGUUGGGUGGACACUGGGCAGCAGGGAGGGCCAGGCCACUCCACCGCACAUGCAGUGCUCAGAGCUGAGAAGAGCCCAUCGCAUCCCACCACCCAAACUUGCACUCGGAGGCCAUCUGCUCACACUUAACCUAAUCACUCCAGACAGUUUUUCUGAAAAGCGUCAUGAAGACCUUCAGCAUGAAGCACCCACCAGUGCCUUAAACUCCUGCCCCAGGGCUAAAUCACACCAUGAGAGCUUCUCUUCUUCUCCCAGCACACGCAAGGUCCUGAGUUGGAUCCCUAUGACCAUCAAAUCAAAAUAGCUGGCCUCAGACGGUUUCCAGUGGCUCAUCCUGCCCGGAGCACAGACACUAAAUGUUAACAUCCAGUUGUCUGCACUUAGCUCCUGGUGCCAGGUGACUGCCCCAGGGCUCCCUCUGGGAGUGAUUGUCUUUUCUUCAAUGAUGCCAGUCAACCACCUGGCAAAACAUCAUGCUGGUGACAGGAAAGGGAAUUCACUUCAUUCCUCCAGCAUGGAUGGAGGACCCACGACCGAACACCAGACCUGGGCCAGAGCCUGCGGCGUGGAGCUGAGUAAUCAACCCCUGCCCACUGGGGAUUCUCAGGUCUGGGGGGAGAGGCAGACAUGAAAACAAACACGUCCUGUACAGUGCCAUUAGUCUUGUACCAGCCGCCUCGGGAGCCCAGAGUAACGAACACCAUCUGGGGGGUUCCCAGGGGACUCAGGGAAGGCCUUACUGCACGGGUGCCUCUGAGCGGAGGUCUGCAAGGAUGACUGAAAGCUUCCAAGCAGGAUAAGACAAGGGAAAGAAUUAAUUCUCCUCAGAAGGAACCACCUGUGGAAAAGCAGAGAGGUGAAGAAGGACACGGCGUGUCUCAGAAACAAACGGCAAGGUAGCAGAGGUCCAGACAGGAGCCCAAGCAAGUAAAGUGGGCAACUUCACCCCAGCCAUCGCCCCUCAGAGCUCUAGCUCCACAGCUCCUGUGUAAGCAGUGUUAUCUUUCUAUGUAGAGAUCAUGUCUGUUGUGUGGGUGUUCCAGGUCCACGAUUAUAAGGUACUGAUACAAACUGUCAUCUCAAGGAAUCCAAGUCUUAUGUUUGAAAAAGCCACUGGAAGGGUCAUCUGAAUCUUUAAGCAGUUGUGAUACUCUGAAAUGUGAUUGCUGACUGGAACUGUGAAGAACCUGAUACUUGACAGAGGGGGAACCAGGCCUCAGAGAAGUGAAGGGGCCACCCACCCUCAACAUGGCGGGAUAAGCCACACCCAGCUCUCCAUACCAACCAUGCCAAACUUCCUUUCCUUCCUUUUUCCCCUUCAGGUGCCCGGGCCAGUGUUCUUCACUCAAUGGACA
Molecule: long non-coding RNA, 4259 nt
Organism: Heterocephalus glaber (naked mole-rat)
Lineage: Eukaryota; Metazoa; Chordata; Mammalia; Rodentia; Bathyergidae
Source: Ensembl